UCCNNNNNNNNNNGCCGGAACACAAAAGGGAAUCUGCAAGCCAUGCUAAUUGUCAGGAACUCAGCCCAGGCUGGCGAUUUCAUUUUCGUUUCUUAAUUCAGACCUUAAAGAGGACCUUAAAGCACGUGACAGAUACAAUCACAGAGAGAAAAGACCGCGUUUUGCUUUUUCCUCGUCGAAUGCCUCCUGGAGAACAAGAGGCUGCAAGAACCCGGAAUUGGACGGAUGGCUCAUUGAGGACUGAUCACCAACGAGCACAUAAAACACCAGACCCGCUUACGAUUCCUCGUUGCACACAAUAAACAAAGCAGAUUCUCUAGACCACAAGGAAGGACUCAGAAGGACAACGAACAGAAUUCUAGCCUCCUCCUGUAGCAGCAGCAACAUUUAAGGAUAAGUGAACGUGUGCGGCUUAGAACCCGAUCAGGUCAAAGUACGGGUGAAAGACGGAAAGGUCUGUGUGUCAGCUGAGAGGGAGAACAGGUACGACUGCCUUGGAUCCAAAAAUUACAGUUACACGAACGUCUGCAAAGAGUUCAGCUUGCUGCCGCCGUGUGUGGACGAGAAAGAAGUGGCGUACACAAGAGAAAGAAGUGACACAGCUCACCAGCUGUGUCAAGAUUGAAUCUCCAUGUUACCCUUGCACUUCUCCCUGACACCCCUGCAUCCCCUGGGGCCCCUGCGGCACCUGAGGCGCCUGUGGACCCUGCGGGCCC
RNAcentral lists this long non-coding RNA (716 nucleotides) under Cricetulus griseus (Chinese hamster). RNAcentral's name for it is "lncRNA (ENSCGRG00000024323.1)". The record is from RNAcentral. Lineage: Eukaryota; Metazoa; Chordata; Mammalia; Rodentia; Cricetidae.